CAGUUGUCUUUGUUUGGGGCGGCUGCAGCGUGACAGGAGAGAGGGGCUCCCGGCCCGGUCUCCUCCACCCUUCGGCCUCAGCAACCGCUGCUGGCUCCAGCCUGUCGCUAUCUCACCCUCUUUAUUUAACAAAGAGCGGAGAGACUAGAAGUAACCCUGAGCAGCGUGGAUGCGGGCAGGGCCCCUGGGGCGUCCCACGGGCGUCAUCCUAGCCUCGUGAGCGCGGAGCCCGGGCACGGGGGCGGGGAGGGGGUUUUGGUGUGCUUAUGAGAACUUGCUCCGUUUUCUCUGUAAAACUGCCGCGAUGAGUGUCAGUCCCCAGAGCCGGAACAAUUCCCGGUUUUCUCCACUUGGGUCUGAGAACCUCUGUUCCUCCAGACCUGCGAGCACUUUGCCAGGGUGACGGGCGGAAAUGUCCCGCGUCCAUGCCUGCUUUCCCAGACCCUCCAACAGACCCCUCUACAGCCCCAGCUUUCUCCUAGCCACUUCCCUCCAGCGACCGCAGAAGGCGCUUCCUCCCCCGCAGCGCGAGCCCCAGCUCCUCCAGCGCCCCAGCUCUCCCCGCCCCCUCCCGACCUUGUUUCAUCUGACCCCUCCCCCGCACAUACUCAAUUUCAUCUUCCCGAGGCGCCCACUCUCCACAUCCUGAGGAAAAAAGAGCCGGCUGCUGUCCUA
Molecule: non-coding RNA, 675 nt
Organism: Saimiri boliviensis boliviensis (Bolivian squirrel monkey)
Lineage: Eukaryota; Metazoa; Chordata; Mammalia; Primates; Cebidae
Source: RefSeq, a predicted model, not a curated record